This 793-nucleotide ribosomal RNA is filed under the name uncultured bacterium. Its description in RNAcentral is "bacterial SSU rRNA". It matches the Rfam family "Bacterial small subunit ribosomal RNA", at positions 8 to 796 of the family's 1533-position model. The record is from RNAcentral.
AGAGUUUGAUCAUGGCUCAGAUUGAACGCUGGCGGCAUGCCUUACACAUGCAAGUCGAACGGCAGCGCGGGAGCAAUCCUGGCGGCGAGUGGCGAACGGGUGAGUAAUACAUCGGAACGUGCCCAAUCGUGGGGGAUAACGCAGCGAAAGCUGUGCUAAUACCGCAUACGAUCUACGGAUGAAAGCAGGGGACCGCAAGCCUUGCGCGAAUGGAGCGGCCGAUGGCAGAUUAGGUAGUUGGUGGGGUAAAGGCUCACCAAGCCGACGAUCUGUAGCUGGUCUGAGAGGACGACCAGCCACACUGGGACUGAGACACGGCCCAGACUCCUACGGGAGGCAGCAGUGGGGAAUUUUGGACAAUGGGCGCAAGCCUGAUCCAGCCAUGCCGCGUGCAGGAUGAAGGCCUUCGGGUUGUAAACUGCUUUUGUACGGAACGAAAAGCCUCCUUCUAAUAAAGGGGGGGUCAUGACGGUACCGUAAGAAUAAGCACCGGCUAACUACGUGCCAGCAGCCGCGGUAAUACGUAGGGUGCAAGCGUUAAUCGGAAUUACUGGGCGUAAAGCGUGCGCAGGCGGUGAUGUAAGACAGUUGUGAAAUCCCCGGGCUCAACCUGGGAACUGCAUCUGUGACUGCAUCGCUGGAGUGCGGCAGAGGGGGAUGGAAUUCCGCGUGUAGCAGUGAAAUGCGUAGAUAUGCGGAGGAACACCGAUGGCGAAGGCAAUCCCCUGGGCCUGCACUGACGCUCAUGCACGAAAGCGUGGGGAGCAAACAGGAUUAGAUACCCUAGUAGUCC